AAAGUCGUAACAAGGUUUCCGUAGGUGAACCUGCGGAAGGAUCAUUACAGAGUUCAUGCCCUCACGGGUAGAUCUCCCACCCUUGAAUAUUAUACCUUUGUUGCUUUGGCGGACCGCUUCGGCUACCGGCUCCGGCUGGUAAGUGUCCGCCAGAGUCAAACCAAACUCUUAUCAUUAGUGUCGUCUGAGUACUAUAUAAUAGUUAAAACUUUCAACAACGGAUCUCUUGGUUCUG
RNAcentral lists this unclassified non-coding RNA (235 nucleotides) under Ascomycota sp. RNAcentral describes it as "partial contains small subunit ribosomal RNA, internal transcribed spacer 1, and 5.8S ribosomal RNA". The stretch from base 1 to 47 matches the Rfam family "Eukaryotic small subunit ribosomal RNA", at positions 1785 to 1831 of the family's 1831-position model. Lineage: Eukaryota; Fungi; Ascomycota. The record is from RNAcentral.